AACGAACGCUGGCGGCAUGCCUAACACAUGCAAGUCGAACGAGACCUUCGGGUCUAGUGGCGCACGGGUGCGUAACGCGUGGGAACCUGCCUUUAGGUUCGGAAUAACUCAGAGAAAUUUGAGCUAAUACCGGAUGAUGUCUUCGGACCAAAGAUUUAUCGCCUUUAGAUGGGCCCGCGUUGGAUUAGCUAGUUGGUGGGGUAAAGGCCUACCAAGGCGACGAUCCAUAGCUGGUCUGAGAGGAUGAUCAGCCACACUGGGACUGAGACACGGCCCAGACUCCUACGGGAGGCAGGAGUGGGGAAUAUUGGACAAUGGGCGAAAGCCUGAUCCAGCAAUGCCGCGUGAGUGAUGAAGGCCUUAGGGUUGUAAAGCUCUUUUACCCGAGAUGAUAAUGACAGUAUCGGGAGAAUAAGCUCCGGCUAACUCCGUG
This 433-nucleotide ribosomal RNA is filed under the name uncultured bacterium. RNAcentral's name for it is "partial 16S ribosomal RNA". It matches the Rfam family "Bacterial small subunit ribosomal RNA", at positions 29 to 507 of the family's 1533-position model. The record is from RNAcentral.